This 253-nucleotide ribosomal RNA is filed under the name uncultured bacterium. RNAcentral's name for it is "partial 16S ribosomal RNA". It matches the Rfam family "Bacterial small subunit ribosomal RNA", at positions 524 to 776 of the family's 1533-position model. The record is from RNAcentral.
UACGUAGGGCGCGAGCGUUGUCCGGAAUUAUUGGGCGUAAAGAGCUCGUAGGCGGCCUGUUGCGUCCGCUGUGAAAUCCCAGGGCUUAACCCUGGGCGUGCAGUGGAUACGGGCAGGCUGGAGGCAGGCAGGGGAGAACGGAAUUCCCGGUGUAGCGGUGAAAUGCGCAGAUAUCGGGAGGAACACCGGUGGCGAAGGCGGUUCUCUGGGCCUGUUCUGACGCUGAGGAGCGAAAGCGUGGGGAGCGAACAGG